This 461-nucleotide ribosomal RNA is filed under the name uncultured bacterium. RNAcentral describes it as "bacterial SSU rRNA". It matches the Rfam family "Bacterial small subunit ribosomal RNA", at positions 342 to 793 of the family's 1533-position model. The record is from RNAcentral.
GGGGAGGCAGCAGUGGGGAAUAUUGCACAAUGGGGGAAACCCUGAUGCAGCCAUGCCGCGUGUGUGAAGAAGGCCUUCGGGUUGUAAAGCACUUUCAGUAGGGAGGAAGGUAGUGUAGUUAACACCUGCAUUAUUUGACGUUACCUACAGAAGAAGCACCGGCUAACUCCGUGCCAGCAGCCGCGGUAAUACGGAGGGUGCGAGCGUUAAUCGGAAUUACUGGGCGUAAAGCGCAUGCAGGCGGCCUGUUAAGUCAGAUGUGAAAGCCCGGGGCUUAACCUCGGAAUUGCAUUUGAAACUGGCAGGCUAGAGUCUUGUAGAGGGGGGUAGGAAUUUCAGGUGUAGCGGUGAAAUGCGUAGAGAUCUGAAGGAAUACCAGUGGCGAAGGCGGCCCCCUCGGACAAAGACUGACGCUCAGAUGCGAAAGCGUGGGGAGCAAACAGGAUUAGAUACCCUGGUAG